UUAGAUACCCUUCUAUACUUUAACAAGCUAGGUAGUACUAAGCUGUAGGAAACCUUUGCAGUUUGGCGGCAUUAACUCAAUUUAGAGGAACCUGCCUUUUAAUCGAUACCCCACGAUAGUCUUUACUUUCAUUAACAUCUUAUAUACCGCCAUCUUAAGGGUAAUUACUUAUACCCCCCCUUAAAAGAAAUCUAAUAAGAUAGGUAAAGGUGUAGACCAUAUGUUAGUUAAGGUGGGUUACUAUAAAUCUUAUUUAAGGAAUUCAGAUCAAAUUCUAAAUAGAAAAAGGAUUUAACUAGUAAUUAGGGAAUAUUAUUCCUCUAUGAAAUUGAUAAACAAUGUGUACACAU
RNAcentral lists this ribosomal RNA (350 nucleotides) under Alpaida septemmammata. RNAcentral's name for it is "partial small subunit ribosomal RNA". Lineage: Eukaryota; Metazoa; Arthropoda; Arachnida; Araneae; Araneidae. The record is from RNAcentral.